Non-coding RNA from Kogia breviceps (pygmy sperm whale), 358 nucleotides. Lineage: Eukaryota; Metazoa; Chordata; Mammalia; Artiodactyla; Physeteridae. The record is from RefSeq and is a predicted model, not a curated record.
UUCUUUUACCCCGUUUUUCAGCGUGAUUGUUUGCUCGUCUGUCUUUUUCAUGAGGUGGUGAGUGUCACACAGCAUCUGGCCUAGGCCUGACUCCCUUUCCCCAGGUAGCCUAACACAGCACCUAUUGGCAGACCCUGGUUUGGGAAGUUACCUUGCAGCUGCCAGAUCUGAGGAGGCCCCUGUGAUAUGACAAGCAAAUGAACUAAAGCCUGAAAAACCAUGAGAGUGGGCUUGGAAUAGCAUCCUGCAGCCUCACCUGAGUCCCGGGACGACUGCAGCCCCAGUGGACAGCUUGCCUGCAAUCUCAUCACAGACCUUGAGCCACAACCUUCCAGAUAAGCUACUUACAUAUCCCUGA